This 110-nucleotide small nuclear RNA is filed under the name Peromyscus maniculatus bairdii (prairie deer mouse). RNAcentral describes it as "U1 spliceosomal RNA (ENSPEMG00000029373.1)". It matches the Rfam family "U1 spliceosomal RNA", at positions 1 to 93 of the family's 166-position model. Rfam says of the family: U1 is a small nuclear RNA (snRNA) component of the spliceosome (involved in pre-mRNA splicing). Its 5' end forms complementary base pairs with the 5' splice junction, thus defining the 5' donor site of an intron. Lineage: Eukaryota; Metazoa; Chordata; Mammalia; Rodentia; Cricetidae. The record is from RNAcentral.
AUACUUACCUGGCAGGGGAAAUACCAUGAUCAAGAAGGUGGUUUUCCGGGCGGUGGUGGUGCAUGCCUGUAAUCCCAGCACUCGGGAGGCAGAGGCAGGUGGAUCUCUGU